AUACGUAGGGAGCAAGCGUUGUCCGGAAUUACUGGGCGUAAAGGGCGCGUAGGCGGGAUAUUAAGUCAGGUGUGAAAACGUGGGGCUUAACUUCACGAUUGCACAUGAAACUGGUAUUCUUGAGGACAGGAGAGGAAAGUGGAAUUCCUAGUGUAGCGGUGAAAUGCGUAGAUAUUAGGAGGAACACCAGUGGCGAAGGCGACUUUCUGGACUGUAACUGACGCUGAGGCGCGAAAGCGUGGGGAGUGAACGGGAUUAGAUACCCCGGUAAUCCACGCCGUAAACGAUGGGUACUAGGUGUAGGAGGUAUCGACCCCUUCUGUGCCGGAGUUAACGCAAUAAGUACCCCGCCUGGGGAGUACGGCCGCAAGGUUGAA
This 377-nucleotide ribosomal RNA is filed under the name uncultured bacterium. RNAcentral's name for it is "bacterial SSU rRNA". It matches the Rfam family "Bacterial small subunit ribosomal RNA", at positions 523 to 898 of the family's 1533-position model. The record is from RNAcentral.